AAUCCACCCAGUCAGACCUGGUUAAUGCAUGCUAGGUUUAGCUGCAUACCUGCUGGUCUAAAUGGCUUUAAACAAGGACUUGGUCUGAUUCUCCAACAUGGACUGCUGGCUGGUCUGCCGGCUGCACUGGAGAGAAAGCACCAGUGAGAUGCUGUCAUGGAAGAAAUCGGAGACGACGUUUCAGAUGGAUUCUUUUCAAAAGGCUGCUGAGAGCAGGGAUUCCCCAGCUGGGAUGGCUUCCCCCUCUCCCGCCUCUUCAGGACCCAAAGCAGCGAGACUCGAUACUCCUUCCCCCGCCCUGGUGCAUGUCUGUCCAUACGUUCCAGUCGACCUCCCGAUUCCAGGAGCCGUGAGAAGAGUGGGGAGAUCUGGCGAUUGCUUGGCUGACAGGAGGGAGGCUGCUGGUAACAACAAACCAACGCCCCAUCCCUGGAAACUGAUGUGAUUCUGAAAUCCAAAAGACUGGUGUGAUGCCCUGAAUUUGAUCUGAUCCAGCCCAAACCUCGGGCUUCCUACAGCCGCAUAGUGUUAUAAACCAUAUGGCCUGGGUGUCUACCAUGGAGAAUGAAAGAGUCCAGACAAGGGCCUAACAAUUCCUGCUAUGGCCAGAAAUAUCACAGCCACUACCCAGCAAUUCAGGUCAUUGCGAAAAUCACAACAUCCCCCCCCCCCCCGCCUCAGUGAAGCCCUCUCGGCAACUUUUCCUUGUAGCUGGCCUUUGUGUGUCCUCUCCAGGUUGCCUGACCACAGACAGAGAAAGGCCAGUAAUGCAAGUAGAUUAACCACAUAGUUAAGGCCCUGUUGCACUAUUGAGAUGGCACAAAGGUCCAGAAUCUGGCUUCAAAUAACCAGCAACCUCGUUGGAUGGGAAUUCCUUGCCACAGCAAGCACUGCUGAAUCUGUGCCCGCCCCCCGCCCCCGACUGACUUCCUGGUAUACGGGCACGUUGGGGCCCUGGCAGAGCAGACCUCUGCUAGCACAAUCCUCCAUUGCUUUGGGGUCCACAGAGAACUCUGGGCUGCUGGGACAACUUGGAACCACUCGGCAGCUGCUCUAAGUUGCGUCAGAGAUAGAUCUCAAAAAUCUGGGAGCUGAAAUUGGCUCCCAGAUGCCCCCCUGCACAGCGCAGGAGAGAACGGAUCUCUAAUGCUUGCCAACUGCAUCAGUAGGGUGGAUGGUUGCGGUGGCUUUGAUUGCACAGUGAUUGAUGUUUCAAAGCCUGAGGCUGAGAGACAGCAGUGGGAUGGGAAAGCUCCUCUUUCGGGGGUGGCUUAGUGUCUGGGAAAGCCUCAGUCUUUGGAGUUCCUGAGUCACUGUUUGCGGCUGAUGUACUCUAUGUUCCUGGGUUACUCCUUGAAGAAUAUUUUCCAAAUAAAGCAUGCAUGUUGUGGGGUCUGUUUCUCCAGAGGUUAAUGAUACUGAUUCACCAGUUUCAUGAAUUGUGUCUGUUUCCCUCUCACCACAUUUGUGUCUGCUCUGCAGUCCUCUGGGGAAGUUCUCAUACAAGAGACUUUGUGCAAUUCUCCCUGUUACCAUCUUAGCAUAACAACUUGA
Long non-coding RNA from Caretta caretta (loggerhead turtle), 1554 nucleotides. RefSeq lists it as uncharacterized. NCBI's taxonomy places the organism in Eukaryota, Metazoa, Chordata, Testudines, Cheloniidae. The record is from RefSeq and is a predicted model, not a curated record.